This 292-nucleotide unclassified non-coding RNA is filed under the name uncultured Mycoplasmataceae bacterium. RNAcentral's name for it is "contains 16S-23S intergenic spacer region". The record is from RNAcentral. Lineage: Bacteria; Bacillati; Mycoplasmatota; Mollicutes; Mycoplasmatales; Mycoplasmataceae.
GGACUACACGGGUAUCUAAUCCUAUUUGCUCCCCACACUUUCAAGCCUAAGCGUCAGUAAUGGCCUAAGUUUUCGCCUCCGCCACUGGUGUUCCUUCAUAUAUCUACGCAUUUCACCGCUCCACAUGAAAUUCCAAAACUCCCUACCACACUCUAGAUUAAUAGUUUCCAAUGCAUACAACUGUUAAGCAGCUGCCUUUAACACCAGACUUUUCAAUCCGCCUGCGCUUGCUUUACGCCCAAUAAAUCCGGAUAACGCUUGCGACCUAUGUAUUACCGCGGCUGCUGGCACC